GAUGAACGCUAGCGGGAGGCUUAACACAUGCAAGUCGAGGGGCAUCACGAGGUAGCAAUACUUUGGUGGCGACCGGCGCACGGAUGAGUAACACGUAUGCAACCUUCCCUGUACAGGGGGAUAACCCGGAGAAAUUCGGACUAAUACCCCAUGAUGAUAUUUAUGGGCAUCCUUUAAUAUUUAAAGCUCUGGCGGUACAGGAUGGGCAUGCGCGACAUUAGCUAGUUGGUAAGGUAACGGCUUACCAAGGCGACGAUGUUUAGGGGACCUGAGAGGGUUGUCCCCCACACUGGUACUGAGACACGGACCAGACUCCUACGGGAGGCAGCAGUGAGGAAUAUUGGUCAAUGGGCGCAAGCCUGAACCAGCCAUCCCGCGUGAAGGAAAAUGCGCUACGCGUUUGUAAACUUCUUUUACCGAGGGGAGAAUAAUCCUGUCGUGACAGGACUUGACGGUACUCUGGGAAUAAGCAAUCGGCUAACUCCGUGCCAGCAGCCGCGGUAAGCAACG
This 510-nucleotide ribosomal RNA is filed under the name uncultured bacterium. RNAcentral's name for it is "bacterial SSU rRNA". It matches the Rfam family "Bacterial small subunit ribosomal RNA", at positions 28 to 527 of the family's 1533-position model. The record is from RNAcentral.